CAUGCAAGUCGGACGGGGUUAGCAGGGAGCACAGAGCGGAGAGCAAAGAGUAAGCGCUCUAAUCUCUAUGCUCUAUGCUCUUUGCUAAUUCAGUGGCGGACGGGUGAGUAACACGUAGGCAACCUACCCUUGAGCGUGGGACAACCCCGAGAAAUCGGGGCUAAUACCGCAUAAGACCACAGACUGAGAUGUCAGUGGUAAAAGGAGUAAUCCGCUUGAGGAUGGGUCUGCGGCCUAUCAGGUAGUUGGUGGGGUAAUGGCCUACCAAGCCGAAGACGGGUAGCCGGGCUGAGAGGUCGGACGGCCACACUGGAACUGAGACACGGUCCAGACUCCUACGGGAGGCAGCAGUGGGGAAUUUUGCGCAAUGGGGGAAACCCUGACGCAGCGACGCCGCGUGGAGGAUGAAGGUCUUCGGGUUGUAAACUCCUUUUCUCAGGAAAGAUGAUGACG
RNAcentral lists this ribosomal RNA (453 nucleotides) under uncultured bacterium. RNAcentral describes it as "bacterial SSU rRNA". It matches the Rfam family "Bacterial small subunit ribosomal RNA", at positions 54 to 456 of the family's 1533-position model. The record is from RNAcentral.